This 406-nucleotide ribosomal RNA is filed under the name uncultured bacterium. RNAcentral's name for it is "partial 16S ribosomal RNA". It matches the Rfam family "Bacterial small subunit ribosomal RNA", at positions 30 to 526 of the family's 1533-position model. The record is from RNAcentral.
AUUGAACGCUGGCGGCAUGCUUUACACAUGCAAGUCGGACGAGUGGCGGACGGGUGAGUAACGUCUGGGAACGUGCCCGGUGGUGGGGGAUAACUGUUGGAAAGGGUAGCUAAUACCGCAUACUAUUCGAUCUGCCCAUGUUGGAUUAGCUGGUAGGUGGGGUAACGGCGCACCUAGGCGACGAUCCCUAGCGGGUCUGAGAGGAUGAUCGGCCACACUGGAACUGAGACACGGUCCAGACUCCUACGGGAGGCAGCAGUGGGGAAUAUUGGACAAUGGGCGCAAGCCUGAUGCAGCCAUGCCGCGUGUAUGAAGAAGGCCUUCGGGUUGUAAAGUACUUUUGGCGGGGAGGCGGUACCCGCAGAAGAAGCACCGGCUAACUCCGUGCCAGCAGCCGCGGUAAUAC